Long non-coding RNA from Poecilia latipinna (sailfin molly), 1599 nucleotides. RefSeq lists it as uncharacterized. The record is from RefSeq and is a predicted model, not a curated record. The transcript has 3 exons. Lineage: Eukaryota; Metazoa; Chordata; Actinopteri; Cyprinodontiformes; Poeciliidae.
UAAAGUUUUAAUUAGGCUAGAUGGAAUCCUAGUACAUCGCCGGUCCAUAAACACUUACUUUUAGAAACUAAGAUCUCCACCGGGGUAGAAAUCAUUGUGGAUUUCUGGCCUAUUGCCUCCAGAUAGGCCGAGAAGGAAAACAGGCUAACUGGAGGGCAGGAGGGAACCAAGCUUGACCCUCAGAGGACCCGCAGAAGGAUGCGGGGGAGCAAUUUCAAAUGUGGCUGCGUCAACCAGCAUAAGCAGGUGAGGUCCCCGGGCUCCUGGGGUCAUAUGAAUUAGAAGAGCAGUACGUUUCUCUAAUGUGGUUGGAGGUUACUGCAAAUGUGACCCAGAGAGUUGGCCUUCUGAAUGACGUGGCUUCUGAUGCCCGAUGAAGAGAGUAAAGUGAAAAAUUGAGCCUGGAGGGUGAGACCGUAGCACAGCUGGUACGCUGUGUUGAGGAAAAUGUCAGUCGUUAUUUAUCAUUUACUAUUCUCAUAGUUGCUCAGUGUAUCCACUUUGCUGCGUUCAAGUCUGCCCUGAAACAAUUACACAAAAUGUCCAAGGAUGCUUACUGACUGGUUGCUACCGACCUUUGGUAUGUUUGAGGGCGUAGGAAAAAGGAUAACAUGUUGAAUUCAUUUACUUUGAUCAUAUAACGUAACAUACUGUAAUUCACCAGGCCACUGGAAACGCAAUGGGAUACACUCCUGGUUCUGUAUUGGAGUAGAUGUAAAUGCGAAACAAGUCAGUAUAGUAAUACUACUUACAUAAAGGUUAGAGGUCUCUAAUAUCCCAUGUACUUGAACUCAAUCCUACUCAUACAGCAUCGGUUACUUGAUUGGUGGAGGAAGCCACGCCCGCAGCUGCGCAGGCGCAGACCUCUGGGAGUAGAGAGGAAGAUGGCGGCUUGUAAGCAUUAUCGCUAACAGGUUAAGCUAACGCUGCAUAUCAUCGAGCCCACGGUCAACGCCCCACUCUGAGUCAACCGAGUAACACAGGAGGCAUGGACUGUAAAUACUGGAGUCCUCUCUAAGUUAUUUCCAAGGAACUACACUCAUAGUCAGCCUGAGGAGAGAAAUGGCGAAGAGUGGGCGGACCAGGGCCAGUAAACACCGCUGCAAGCAAGCAAACCCAGUCCCACCAUCGCCCCCACCCCUCACAGGAAGCAAGCAAAGAAGCCAAAAGUCUGCCCCGUUCGGGCCACUGUAUUCGAAAGGGGACACCUGAAGACCACCAGGAGAGGGGGGAUGAAAUCCGGAGAGACGAGGGCCCUUAUUAAGAAGAGCAGAGACAGCAGCUCUACACAGAACCCUAUGCCUUGGCUUCUUCAAUGCUACAAAACCACCGCCGUGGAGCUUCACAAUUUGUCCUGUCUGAUCCUGGGUCAAGGACCAAACGAGCCAGUGAGAGAUAGAUUAUGUUAUUGGUUAAUGGUAAUCAUGCACUGUGACUGUAUGAUGAAGUGCCUUUACCCCACCCUUAGAGUUUCAGUGCUCUCUGUGAUUAGGGAUACUAAAUGCAAUAAAAGAGAGGGGCAGACAAAUGUGCCUCAGGGCGGCGGGGGAUUUGUAACUGAAAGCACAUCUAUGUCUGUUCACCUCGCAAAGAUAAGAA